This 513-nucleotide long non-coding RNA is filed under the name Gouania willdenowi (blunt-snouted clingfish). RNAcentral describes it as "lncRNA (ENSGWIG00000005763.1)". Lineage: Eukaryota; Metazoa; Chordata; Actinopteri; Blenniiformes; Gobiesocidae. The record is from RNAcentral.
GGAAACUUAAAACAAGCAUAACUAUCCACUGAUUGUCCACUUGAUCCAAGAUAGAAACUUUUCUAAUCAUGGAGGGAAUGGAAAACUCUGAUGAGCGCAAUGAGAAGGAGAGACUAAGGAUGAGGAUUGCAGUCCUGGAGGAGAGUGUGAGGUCCUGUGAGGUGGACUGCAGAGCCAGUAGGGAGACAGUGGUGAGGCUGGAGACUGAACUGGACCAGGAGAGGAGGAAGUCUGCCAGCAGUGCUGAAGCUCUUCACUCACUCAAAGUGGCAAUGGAGGAUCUUUCCGUGAGCAGGAGGAGUGUAGAGAGGGAAAAGCAGAUGCUGAUGGAAAGGCUGGACGCCAGCCUGAGAGUGAUUGAAGCAGCCAGGAAAGAGUCCAAGUGUUUGGAGAAUCAGGUGGAGGAGCUCGAGAGAAAAACACACAUCACUGAGGGGAAACUACACAAGUUUCGACAGAAGGUGGCCGAGCUCCUGCAGAGGAAGUCUGAGCAAGUCAUUCUGCCCAGAGAGG